AAAUAAAAUCUUUAUUUUGUUUCUUUUUUUUUUAAAACAUUAAAAAAGCCUUUUAGAAAAUCCAAAGUUUUUAAACCCUAGGGUUUCAGACUAAAAAUGUGCAGCCACCAGACCACCACCAUACGGUUACUGACAGCGCGCAGAUGAUGGCUGAUUCCGCCAACGGAGGAGAACUCCGACUAAGCCCACAGAGGUUUGGUAUGGCGAACAUGGCUUGGACAUGGUGCGUGGGUGCGUGGUGCGUGGUGGUGGAGAACGUGGGUAGUGGCGGUUGAAUGUUGGCACAUGGUGGCUGAAGGGAGGCAGCAAAUCUAGGAUUUCCCUCUUUGCUGAAAAAAUUUUGUGGGCUAGGAUUUUUUUUUUAAAUUUGGGCUUUGUUUUAUUGUAAUAGGUUAAUGGCUAUGUUUGGGUUCUAAUGGGCUGAAAUUGGAUAUUUGUUUUUUUGGUUUAUUUUGUUUGUUGGGUCCGGGCAAAAAUUAGACCCUACAAAUUUUAUAUAUUAUUUUAUCUUGAAUGGAUACUAAUUUUUUAAAUUCUUUUAUAUACUUUAGAUUGCUUUUAUAACA
Gossypium arboreum is the source of this 566-nucleotide long non-coding RNA. RefSeq lists it as uncharacterized. The transcript has 2 exons. The record is from RefSeq and is a predicted model, not a curated record. NCBI's taxonomy places the organism in Eukaryota, Viridiplantae, Streptophyta, Magnoliopsida, Malvales, Malvaceae.